RNAcentral lists this long non-coding RNA (1338 nucleotides) under Strigops habroptila (Kakapo). Its description in RNAcentral is "lncRNA (ENSSHBG00005020063.1)". Lineage: Eukaryota; Metazoa; Chordata; Aves; Psittaciformes; Psittacidae. The record is from RNAcentral.
GGGGUGGUUGUGCUGGGUGGAGGGGGUGCGUGGCGGCGGGGUGCGCGGUGGGACGGGGGGCUCAAAGGAACGGUAACGAGUGUGGCUUUUAAGCUGCGUGGUAAAAUACAGCAAAGUGCUUCAACUUGCCCGCACGUGCGUGUGAUUAGUAAUAUAAAUAGUUUGCUUCAGCAAAAGCUUGAUUUAUCUUUGGUUUUUUGCAUUGUAUAGGCAGAUGGGAAGAAUGUAAAUUCCUGAAACUAUGAAACAAACAGGAAUAAGGGACUUGUGCGGCCGGAUAUAGGAUGUGUGGCAGUCAUUCUUGAUUGAAUCAACAUCUAAUCUGAAAGCAACAGAACAAUGUAUAAGAUAAGGGCUUUAGGCACAGAGUUAAAUAAAACAAGACAGCCUUUAUCAACUACCUCUUAAAAAAAAAAACCCUCCUAGAAGAAAGAAUGAAGAUGACAUCAACCAUUGUGAGGUGGGAUUCGUCUUCCUAAAAAUCCUAUGAAUAUGUAAAAGGCUGGACUAUAAGAAACUUUGUACUUACAGGCGUGCAUGUAGGAUAUGAAAGCAUGCACCCAGCGCUGUAAAUAAAUCUUUGCUCCACCGACUUUGUCCCCAGUUAAAUUUUUCUAAAGGUGAGCGCGUUUCUCACAAUUUGGGGGCUCGUCCGGGAGAUUCGAAACCUCGCCUCGGCGGUGGGGAGACGGUCACUGAAGGAAGGCGCGCCCCGCUGAUUUCAGCGGUCCUUUUGUUUUCCCUCCUUGCCGCUAGAGGAUCGACGGUGACGACCCCGGCAGGGGACUCGUGGACUAAAGAGAGGCAGUAUUUUCGCGGCAGCCGAUAAUAUCUGUGCACAGAACCCGGGAAAGGAGCCAGAAUCAUCAGAAGAAAAUCAGCCCAGUUUGGAGUUGGGAGUUCGAAACUACUGGUAUCCACCACACAUUGUUCAGAACUACUGGUGUCCACUACACCCUAAUAAUGACUGUAGUCCAUUAUUCAUGGUAGAAUGCUACAAUGCCCCCGAUGCUCAGAAAGAUAAAGAGUGUGGCAAAACCCUAUGGAUACGGGAAGGGGACGACAUUUAUUGCCCUCGGGACAGACUUUGGUCCAGUUGGGAGAAGAGUGAGAGACAAGUUAGACUAAUAGCGGUAUGCUGUGGAAAAGACGGGGAACUACGGUUCUAAUAACAUAUAGGACAGGAAAUGCUAGGAAAAUUCUACAGAUACCUGUCGUAACACACCAUCUAUUUUUACGUACUCAUUGUGAACCCUGUCACGUAGGUGUGGUGACACGCUGAGGUACCUGUGGCUCUACAAGUAUCCACGAAAGGUUCACUGAAGUACUUCUGUAACU